This 403-nucleotide ribosomal RNA is filed under the name uncultured bacterium. RNAcentral's name for it is "bacterial SSU rRNA". It matches the Rfam family "Bacterial small subunit ribosomal RNA", at positions 355 to 775 of the family's 1533-position model. The record is from RNAcentral.
UAGGGAAUAUUAGUAAUGGGCGAAAGCCUGAACUAGCAACGCCGCGUGUGCGAAGAAGGCCUUCGGGUUGUAAAGCACUUUUUGAGAGGAUGAGGAGGGACGGUACUCUCAGAAUAAGUCUCGGCUAACUACGUGCCAGCAGCCGCGGUAACACGUAGGAGGCGAACGUUAUCCGGAUUUACUGGGCGUAAAGCGCGUGUAGGUGGUUUGGUAAGUAGGGCGUGAAAGCUCCUGGCUCAACUGGGAGAGGCCGUUCUAAACUGCCGAACUAGAGGAUGGUAGGGGGAGGUGGAAUUCCGGGUGUAGCGGUGGAAUGCGCAGAUAUCCGGAGGAACACCAGUGGCGAGAGCGGCCUCCUGGACCAUUCCUGACACUCAGACGCGAAAGCUAGGGUAGCAAACGG